This is a long non-coding RNA of Lathyrus oleraceus (garden pea), 498 nucleotides long. RefSeq lists it as uncharacterized. The record is from RefSeq and is a predicted model, not a curated record. The transcript has 2 exons. Lineage: Eukaryota; Viridiplantae; Streptophyta; Magnoliopsida; Fabales; Fabaceae.
UACUGCUACUAGCUCCUUGGGAAGAGUUCUUUUUAGCUACUGCAAAAGAUUUACCUAUUGGGAAAGCUCCGGUCCCUUCAGUUGAUCCUGACACUAAGAAAAAGGUGGAAAGGGCUCUAUCCAAUGUGGAGAUGAAAAAUAAAGAAGCAGCAUAUCAGGCAUGGCUUGGUUACUACAACUCUAACAAGAAAGUGGGGAAAGAUAAGUAUAGGUUAGUGGAGCUUGCAAAUGAGUUCAGUCGAUGCAUGGGGCUUGAUAGCCCUCCAGCUAUUCCUAAGCUUGUCCUUGGCAAGAUGGGUCUUAAAAAUAUCCCUGGUUUACGUUCCAAAUAGGUUUCCAUUCAAUUUCUGAUAACAGUCUUGUGAAAGAGAGAAAUGUUCUUGAAUUGAAAUGCCCCCACUUAUAGUUUGAUUUUAAGACUUGAAACUUCUAAAUUUCAACUAUCAUAGUAAUUUUUUCUGUAUAUUUUGUACUUCUAGAUGAAUUAUCAUUUAACAA